GGAAGGGAGAGGAAGAGCAGAAAAAGAGGAAGAGAGCAGGUUGAUGACCAGGGGGAGGUCGAUUUUGAACUUCCAGGCACAUCCACUGAAGUCUUCUGUCCUUCCACGUUUGGCCUGCAGAUGAUCAGAGUAUGGUCCUGCUGUGAGCCCGGUCAGGACUGAGUCUAAGGUUCCAGCGUUGAGGCUUGUGAUUUUUCCCGCCGUCAUCUUCACUCUCCGUUGUGUCCUGCCGUGCCACCCGCGGCCGCUUUCGCCGGCGUGAGCUGAUUCGCUGGAGAGAGCCUGACUCAUGGAGCCUGGGGCCAAUCAGUCAUUAGUGUUCACACAGAGGCAUGCCCUGAGGACAGAAUACAGCACAGAAGCAGACCAGCAGAUGCUUAGUCACUUGGGACAAUUUUUCAGAAAAAAUGACACCACACAGUGACAGAAAUAAAGUCAUGUGAGAUGGACAUUUAAAACAAUGUAUUCGAGCACAAUUAGAGAAGAAGAAACACUUCCAGUAGCCUCAGAUGCUUGAGUAGGAAGCUGAAGCACUCACCGGUGUGGGCGGCGUAUGUGCUUCUGGGUAAAGUGUACAGGGACCGGCCUGGCAAAGACACGAUACGUCCACCACUACACAGCUCGCCCCCACCUGAGACAAGAAAGAGAUCACACCUUUAUCUGUAAGAUUCUUUUAUCCUGUUUUUUCAGUCGACAGCUUAUUGAAAUUUAUUAAGGUCAGCUAAUCUGUUGAGUCAGUUUCAGUUACUAAUGGUUCUACACUACUUGUAAAUUGUAGUGGUUUUAUAAUCUGCUCAUCAGAGAAAGGUCAAAUUCAAGGUCAAAAUGCAAAAAAAAAAAAAAAUUGUCAGCCCCCUCCCCCCCAAAAAAAACAAUCCUUUAUUCUUGCUUUUAACUUGUCCAACCUUUUGGCAUUCUUAGCCGCUCAUAAGUUGAGGACGGCUGACGAAGCAUAACAUGAGUGCAGACAUGAAUCAGUGUGACUCAGGCAAAGACAGAAAUAACAUCACGGCUGUAAUUACAGUGUAACACCGCAGCAUGAUUCAUCAGCUCAGUCCAACUUCACCUCUUGGCCCUUUGACCUGGCCUUAAUCCUCAGUUUGGGCCUCAGGCCUGAAGUGACGAAUGUUUUUAGUUUCUGAAUGAAGUGGAAGUUAAGAGAUUUAUAAAGAAAAUGUAGUUUCUGUUUGCUGUUGAAAAUAUUCAGAUCUCAGUGGGACUCCUCAUUUUGCCUGCCAACAGCUAAAGCAGUACUUCUCAAAUAGUGUGCCACAGUGUGCAUAAGUGUGCCACAGCUGUAAUGCAUGAAUGAUAACAAGCCUUCAGUCACUAGGUGGCAGCAACUCAUAGUCGUUUGUACAGACAAAAUAUACACUUUAUUAGGUUCUUAAUAGUAUUUUAGUUCGCAGGGCUGUGGAUGGGGGAGGGUGUGGGGGCCGUGAAAACAUUUCUGUCCCCAAGGGGGGGGGGGGCAUGACAGAAAAUAAUUAAGAACCACUGAGCUAAAGCAACAUACUCUCAGUUAACUCUUAUUGUAAAAUUGCACUUUGCAAAUAGAAUAAAAUCAAAUCUUACCACACAGUCAUCUGCUAACAUCUCUCCUGACAAAAAUGGGUCGUGGGAGUCUGAUUCCCUCCGCAGCAUCGUAACCUCUGACCUUGUUCACACGUUCACACAGUCCUG
Long non-coding RNA from Cynoglossus semilaevis (tongue sole), 1683 nucleotides. RefSeq lists it as uncharacterized. The transcript has 3 exons. NCBI's taxonomy places the organism in Eukaryota, Metazoa, Chordata, Actinopteri, Pleuronectiformes, Cynoglossidae. The record is from RefSeq and is a predicted model, not a curated record.